GUAAAGCACUUUCAGUCGUGAGGAAGGCGGGUACGUUAAUAGCGUAUUCGUUUGACGUUAGCGACAGAAGAAAGCACCGGCUAACUCCGUGCCAGCAGCCGCGGUAAUACGGAGGGUGCGAGCGUUAAUCGGAAUUACUGGGCGUAAAGCGCAUGCAGGUGGUUUGUUAAGUCAGAUGUGAAAGACCCGGGGCUCAACCUCGGAAUAGCAUUUGAAACUGGCAGACUAGAGUACUGUAGAGGGGGGUAGGAAUUUCAGGUGUAGCGGUGAAAUGCGUAGAGAUCUGAAGGAAUACCGGUGGCGAAGGCGGCCCCCUCGGACAGAUACUGACACUCAGAUGCGAAAGCGUGGGGAGCAAACAGGAUUAGAUACCCUGGUAG
This 380-nucleotide ribosomal RNA is filed under the name uncultured bacterium. Its description in RNAcentral is "bacterial SSU rRNA". It matches the Rfam family "Bacterial small subunit ribosomal RNA", at positions 425 to 793 of the family's 1533-position model. The record is from RNAcentral.